Molecule: long non-coding RNA, 823 nt
Organism: Oreochromis aureus
Lineage: Eukaryota; Metazoa; Chordata; Actinopteri; Cichliformes; Cichlidae
Exons: 3
Source: RefSeq, a predicted model, not a curated record
GAACGAGAUCUUUGGUUUUGCCUUUGCUGACUGCUGAUCUGAUCGUCUCAAGUCUGGUGACCUGCUGCAGAAGAUCCUCUCUCUCUAUCAUUAUAAGCAAUUCUGUCUAUCCUAUCACUCUCCCGACUCUAUCUAAUUUGACAGCCAUUCUAUCUUGUAUCCCUCUAUCCCUACUGCUCUAUCUAAUUUGACAGCCAUUCUAUCUUGUAUCCCUCUAUCUCUACUGCUCUAUCUAAUUUGACAGCCAUUCUAUCUUGUAUCCCUCUAUCCCUACUGCUCUAUCUAAUUUGACAGCCAUUCUAUCUUGUAUCCCUCUAUCUCUACUGCUCUAUCUAAUUUGACAGCCAUUCUAUCUUGUAUCCCUCUAUCCCAAGCGCUCUAUCUAAUUUCAGAAUCCAAGUUUUCAGAAAUCAAAGUUUUCAGAAUCAGUUUUCAGAAAUCCAAGUACCAGUACUUGAUCUAUCUGUUAAAGAAUUCUGAGAGAUCUCUGCUCUCACUGCUCCUUCUUUCCUGUCAUUAAACUCUCUCACAUUCAGUCAAUUUGCUGGAAAUUACAAUUAGAAAGUUGAAUAUACAGUAGUAGAAUUGCAGUACAGUAGAACUUAUAGUAGAAACUACUUAUACAGCCCUACAUUUGUAGUUUUGACUUGGCAUUACUCUUUGGAAUAAACACUGAUAGUUUGGCUUACUGGUCCAAUUACUUUGAUACAUUAUAUAAAAUAUACACCUUUUAUAAGGUUUAUUUGUAAUAAGAUAAUCUGACUAUUCUGUAAUAUAUUCAGAGUGCUAUAUUCACAUAAAUAUUAAAUUUGAUUCAAAUACA